Molecule: transfer RNA, 73 nt
Filed under: Pseudomonadota bacterium
Lineage: Bacteria; Pseudomonadati; Pseudomonadota
Description: Proteobacteria bacterium (activated sludge metagenome) tRNA-Glu
Rfam family: tRNA
About the family: Transfer RNA (tRNA) molecules are approximately 80 nucleotides in length.
Source: RNAcentral
GCUCCCUUCGUCUAGUGGCCUAGGACGCCGCCCUCUCACGGCGAGAACAGGGGUUCAAAUCCCCUAGGGAGCG